GAAGCAGGCCAGGCAGCCGCCGCCUCUCACGAGGGGGAGGAAAGUCCGGGCUCCAGAGGGCAUGGUGCUGGAUAACGUCCAGCGGGGGCGACCCCAGGGAUAGUGCCACAGAGAGAAGUCCGCCCGCCGGUGCUUCGGCAACUACGGGUAAGGGUGAAAGGGUGAGGUAAGAGCUCACCGGGUCCGACGGUGACGCCGGAUGCCAGGUAAACCCCACCAGGAGCAAGGCCAAAUAGGGGAGCGCAAAGGACGGCCCGUCCGUGCUUCCGGGUUGGCUGCUCGAGACCGUCGGCAACGGCGGUCCUAGAUGAAUGGCUGCCGCCCGCUUUCCGGGUAACCGGUUGCGGGAACAGAACCCGGCUUACGGCCUGCUUCAGCC
RNAcentral lists this RNase P RNA (379 nucleotides) under Geobacteraceae bacterium. Its description in RNAcentral is "RNase P RNA component class A". It matches the Rfam family "Bacterial RNase P class A". Rfam says of the family: Ribonuclease P (RNase P) is a ubiquitous endoribonuclease, found in archaea, bacteria and eukarya as well as chloroplasts and mitochondria. Its best characterised activity is the generation of mature 5'-ends of tRNAs by cleaving the 5'-leader elements of precursor-tRNAs. Lineage: Bacteria; Pseudomonadati; Thermodesulfobacteriota; Desulfuromonadia; Geobacterales; Geobacteraceae. The record is from RNAcentral.